GACGAACGCUGGCGGCAUGCCUAACACAUGCAAGUCGAACGAGACCUUCGGGUCUAGGGGCGCACGGGUGCGUAACACGUGGGAACCUGCCCUUAGGUUCGGAAUAACUCCCCGAAGGGGAUGCUAAUACCGGAUAAUGUCUUCGGACCAAAGAUUUAUCGCCUUGGGAUGGGCCCGAGUUGGAUUAGCUGGUUGGUAGGGUAAAAGCCUACCAAGGCGACGAUCCAGAGCUGGUCUGAGAGGAUGAUCAGCCAGACUGGGACUGAGACCCGGCCCAGACUCCUACGGGAGGCAGCAGAGGGGAAUAUAGGACAGGGGGCGAAAGCCUGCUCCAGCAAGGCCGCGAGAGUGAUGAAGGGCUUAGGGUUGUAAAGCUCUUUUACCCGGGAUGAUAAGGACAGUACCGGUAGAAUAAGCCCCGGUUAAUUCCGU
RNAcentral lists this ribosomal RNA (432 nucleotides) under uncultured bacterium. RNAcentral describes it as "partial 16S ribosomal RNA". It matches the Rfam family "Bacterial small subunit ribosomal RNA", at positions 28 to 506 of the family's 1533-position model. The record is from RNAcentral.